RNAcentral lists this long non-coding RNA (2540 nucleotides) under Daphnia pulex (common water flea). RNAcentral describes it as "uncharacterized LOC124191022, transcript variant X2". The record is from RNAcentral. Lineage: Eukaryota; Metazoa; Arthropoda; Branchiopoda; Diplostraca; Daphniidae.
UUAAUUACAGUACAGGGCAGGCAACAAAUGAGUAGUGUGAAUGGUAUUUAUAAAAAAACCAUGUAGGUAGCCUAUACAGCAUUCCAGAUUAUUUUUCACACGUCUUAGAAUUAUGGAAACAGUAUGUAGUGCUUUCAGUUGCCCUCUAAUAUCAUUAUAGCUCCGCCUGCCCAUCAGCAUAACUCCAAGGACCAAGAUUCAAACAUCGGACUGGGGUGGUGCCAAUUAGUAAAUACAAGUGUUUGGAAUUUAGUAAGUUUCGAAUAUUUGCUAGAUAGACGCCCAAUGCAACAAUGAGACGUCCCCCAAUUGUUUUUAAUCCGGAUGCGAACGUCGAAGAAACGCUGUACUUAAAAUUCCAUGAUGCAACUGAAAUCAUUUUGUGGCCGCUCGCGAUGGAAGAAUGGAUUCGAUUCUCAGUCUGUUUUUGGCAUUCUUUCAGAGAAACAGGAGCUGAUCCGUUAAGCCAAGCAACUGUUAGGCGAAAUCGGGAUGACGGCACAGAAACGAUAGAAACUAAGCUUCCCCAUCCUUCAAAAGCGGCAUUAAUGGGGCCAUCUUCAACUACUUCUUUCUUCGUAACGAACGAAAUUGACGUUAGUGCCCAAAAACAGAGUUGUUGCGAGCUAUUGGCAAUACCAACGCAAUUUGCCUAUUGCGUUGGUAAAAAUUGUCGAAAUCUUGAAACCAAUUAAACUCGAUAUUUAAAAUCAAUUUAAUUUAGCUAUCUGCAGCAAAGCGAUGUCGUCCAACUUAGUUACAGGGUCGAAAGUGCUGUAGCGGUAAAUCUUGAAAAAAUUUACCGAAACUUGGUCUGCGUCCGGCUGAAGCAACGACACCUGAGCAGCGAUGACACUUAACUGACUCGGUUCGUAAUUUUCGAAUAUUAUUCAAUAAGGGCAUUGUUAAUACCAAAUUGUUAAUACCAAACAUUCAUUUGUUUAUAAUUGAGUUUCUCGACAAUGCAAGUGGCCGUUGUGACAAUCCAGUCAUUAUUAUAAAUCCAUCCACCGCAUGUUCAUUCACCACUAUCGAAACCAAAAAAGGCUGUUCUCCGGCAAGCUUAUUGAACCAAGGGUAAUAGGGAGACAUUCGGGUGUAAAUGGUUGGUUGAAAAUUGUUUCCACAACUGGCAUUCUUGGACAUGAUUCCAACCACUCCCACUGUUCCACUGAUGUUUUUGUUUUGCACCAAAGGCGAACCUUCGUCGCAAUGGCAGGGGCUUCCAGUAUCUAGUGACUCCUCUAGCGAAGAUCAUGUAAGCUGAGUAAAACUGAUCCGCGCCGUAAUCUCUGCAGUCUGUUCCGAAUGAAACUUGAAUGGAACGCAGCCCGGCAAUCACUAAACCACCUUCCUUUAUAAAAGUGACUCAUCGUCCAAUGAAGGUGCCAUUGUCGGAAAGAGCUUCUUUCGCCUCACUGUGCGGGAUAAAGUUGACGUUGGUGCUAAAUUCGAUAGGUGGAGACGUCUAAGGAAAGCGCCAAUCAAUUGAACUUUUAGAUUAUGCCACAAGCAAUUUGAUGUCAGCCUUUACGUAUGUUUCGCGAGAUAGUAGCGAUGAUAACGAUGAUAACGAUCAGGCUGACUGCAUCUAGCGGGGAACUCGUGCGUCACGACUCACGCGAGGUCACUUUUUACAAGGAGAGAUUGGAUAAAACUGGUUGCAAUCCAGCCGUAGUGGAUAUCCAAUUGUAGUAAGGUGACAGCCGUGUGAAAAUGGUCGGUUCAAUCGUUCCAGCUGCGUCGCAGCCCUUAUUCCUCGACAUGACUCCAACAACAAAUCCAUUCUGCAUCAAAGGCGAUCCUUCGUCAUAGUAACAUGGACUUGCAUGGUCUAGUUCAUCUAUGGUGCAGUCUUUAUCCUUGACCAGGCAAUAUCAUGGCUGUGACGCUGAGCCAGAACUGAUAGCGCCUAGCAACAUGGGUCAUCUUCCGAGCCUGCAGGGGAAACUGGACGUAAUCUUUUAACGAUCAAGAUCAACUGGUUUGGAAAUUCUCCAAAAACUCCAGUCCAGUUCGUCCGGCGGGAAUUGCGUAACGUCGAGAGAUAGAAAAAAAAGCCAAGGCGUUAAAACGGCCGUACGACGCCCCCUCGUUCGGAUGCGUCGUCAUUGUAACAUGAGAAUCGAUUGGCUGGAAAAUGUCGGCGUCGACUGCGGUUAUUUGUUUACAGUAUACACAUCGGUGACAGGGCAGCAUUGAUUGAAUGACCCGAGCCGGAACCAAACGCCAGAUGAUGUAUAUUCAUGUCAAAACUACUCAUCGUGUUCAAAGAGAAUUUCAAGAGAGUUCAUUCGAUAAAUCGAUUGGGCGUGAGUGCCCCAGGCGGCAUCUUCUGUAUAACCUCAACAAGGAUCGCGGACACAAAAGGUCCGGAAUCGAUAGCGAUGGAUCGGUGCGCCGUACGAGGAAAUGACACGAGUCGACCAGGAAACCUCAAAAUCUAUCCAUCGCACCUUCGUAUUUGUAAAAUGAGGAGCAAUGUCAUUUCAUCUAGUGAAAAUAUAGACGGACGUUAAUUCCAGUUAUUUUCUACCCUC